GACCGGGUAGCUCAGUUGGUUAGAGCGUCGGCCCGAUAUGCCAAGGUUGUGGGUUCAAUCCCCAGUCAGGGCA
This 73-nucleotide transfer RNA is filed under the name Myotis davidii. It matches the Rfam family "tRNA". From Rfam's summary of the family: Transfer RNA (tRNA) molecules are approximately 80 nucleotides in length. Lineage: Eukaryota; Metazoa; Chordata; Mammalia; Chiroptera; Vespertilionidae. The record is from Rfam by way of RNAcentral.